UACAUUGAAGCCCGCUGGUUUGGGUUUUUAGUUGUUAACUAAAGGUUUUCGGGGUCGAGGCCCGUCAAUCUAU
RNAcentral lists this transfer RNA (73 nucleotides) under Naultinus stellatus. Its description in RNAcentral is "tRNA-Asn". The record is from RNAcentral. Lineage: Eukaryota; Metazoa; Chordata; Lepidosauria; Squamata; Diplodactylidae.